This 591-nucleotide ribosomal RNA is filed under the name uncultured bacterium. RNAcentral describes it as "bacterial SSU rRNA". It matches the Rfam family "Bacterial small subunit ribosomal RNA", at positions 65 to 674 of the family's 1533-position model. The record is from RNAcentral.
AGCGGAAAGGCCCUUCGGGGUACUCGAGCGGCGAACGGGUGAGUAACACGUGAGCAAUCUGCCCUUAGCUUCGGGAUAGCUCCGGGAAACCGGAAUUAAUACCGAAUACGACCUCGGCCGACAUCGGCCCUGGUGGAAAGUUUUUCGGCUAGGGAUGAACUCGCGGCCUAUCAGCUUGUUGGUGGGGUAAUGGCCUACCAAGGCGACGACGGGUAGCCGGCCUGAGAGGGCGACCGGCCACACUGGGACUGAGACACGGCCCAGACUCCUACGGGAGGCAGCAGUGGGGAAUAUUGCGCAAUGGGCGAAAGCCUGACGCAGCGACGCCGCGUGGGGGAUGAAGGCCUUCGGGUUGUAAACCCCUUUCAGCAGGGACGAAGCGAGAGUGACGGUACCUGCAGAAGAAGCGCCGGCUAACUACGUGCCAGCAGCCGCGGUAACACGUAGGGCGCAAGCGUUGUCCGGAAUUAUUGGGCGUAAAGAGCUCGUAGGUGGCUUGCUGCGUCCGCUGUGAAAACUCAGGGCUUAACCCUGAGCUUGCAGUGGAUACGGGCAGGCUAGAGGUAGGUAGGGGAGAAUGGAAUUCCCGGU